RNAcentral lists this ribosomal RNA (446 nucleotides) under uncultured bacterium. RNAcentral describes it as "bacterial SSU rRNA". It matches the Rfam family "Bacterial small subunit ribosomal RNA", at positions 329 to 792 of the family's 1533-position model. The record is from RNAcentral.
GGCCAGACUCCUACGGGAGGCAGCAGUGGGGAAUAUUGCACAAUGGGGGAAACCCUGAUGCAGCAACGCCGCGUGAGUGAAGAAGUAUUUCGGUAUGUAAAGCUCUAUCAGCAGGGAAGAAGAUGACGGUACCUGACUAAGAAGCCCCGGCUAACUACGUGCCAGCAGCCGCGGUAAUACGUAGGGGGCAAGCGUUAUCCGGAUUUACUGGGUGUAAAGGGAGCGUAGACGGCAUGGCAAGUCAGAUGUGAAAGCCCGGGGCUCAACCCCGGGACUGCAUUUGAAACUGUCAGGCUGGAGUGCAGGAGAGGUAAGUGGAAUUCCUAGUGUAGCAGUGAAAUGCGUAGAUAUUAGGAGGAACACCAGUGGCGAAGGCGGCUUACUGGACUGUAACUGGCGUUGAGGCUCGAAAGCGUGGGGAGCAAACAGGAUUAGAUACCCUUGUA